This 719-nucleotide ribosomal RNA is filed under the name uncultured bacterium. RNAcentral's name for it is "bacterial SSU rRNA". It matches the Rfam family "Bacterial small subunit ribosomal RNA", at positions 29 to 743 of the family's 1533-position model. The record is from RNAcentral.
AUUAACGCUAGCGGCAGGCAUAAUACAUGCAAGUUGAACGGGAUUAGGUUUAGCAAUAGACUUAUGAGAGUGGCGCACGGGUGCGUAACACGUAUGCAACCUGCCCCUGACAGGAGAAUAGCCUCUCGAAAGAGAGAUUAAUGUCCCAUAACAUAUAGGGUAAGCAUUUACUUUAUAUCAAAGCUACGGCGGUCAGGGAUGGGCAUGCGGCUGAUUAGGUAGUUGGUGAGGUAACGGCUCACCAAGCCGACGAUCAGUAGGGGGUCUGAGAGGAUGUCCCCCCACACUGGUACUGAGACACGGACCAGACUCCUACGGGAGGCAGCAGUAGGGAAUAUUGGUCAAUGGGGGCAACCCUGAACCAGCCAUGCCGCGUGCAGGAAGACUGCCCUAUGGGUUGUAAACUACUUUUGUACGGGAAGAAAUCAAUCUACGUGUAGGUUGUUGACGGUACCGUGAGAAUAAGGAUCGGCUAACUUCGUGCCAGCAGCCGCGGUAAUACGAAGGAUCCAAGCGUUGUCCGGAUUUACUGGGCUUAAAGGGUGCGUAGGCGGUUUAAUAAGUCAGUGGUGAAAGCCUUCAGCUUAACUGAAGAAUUGCCAUUGAAACUGUUAGACUCGAGUAUGGUUGAGGUCACUGGAAUGUAACAUGUAGCGGUGAAAUGCUUAGAUAUGUUACAGAACACCAAUUGCGAAGGCAGGUGACUAAGCCAUAACUGA